This is a long non-coding RNA of Mercurialis annua (annual mercury), 1015 nucleotides long. RefSeq lists it as uncharacterized. Lineage: Eukaryota; Viridiplantae; Streptophyta; Magnoliopsida; Malpighiales; Euphorbiaceae. The transcript has 3 exons. The record is from RefSeq and is a predicted model, not a curated record.
AAAUCCCGCAUCUUCAUCCUCCAUGAAAAUUUCAUAACCAAACUUCAAAUCCUCAUAUCUCUUUCGUUUCUUAACGGAAUUGAGCGAUUCUCGCGGCCAUAGAAUGAGGAAAGGAUCCUCUAAUGGAUUAGAUAUUCAAUUUAAGGUGAUCUUGAGCUUACAAGAAGGAUUUUCAUGGUGAAUUUGGCGGAUUAAUGCUUCAGCAUGGGGUACCUUCAAGGUACGACAAGUCGGUCUAUUAACAGACAAGAAGCUCAAGGAGCUUACGCUAUUAUGAAUAAAGGUUUAGGAUAAGUAAGCUGUGAGUAUAUUUUACUUUCUCGCAUUAUCGUAAUUAAACUUAUGUUAUAUACUAUAUGAUUAGUAUUUCAAUGCAUCACAUAAUUGGUUUGGAUUGUGUUGUUGGAUUAAAUUGGUUAGGAUUAUAAUGUUUUUGCUUGUAUUGAAUUGUUUAUAUUGCUUUGUAUAUGCAACUUGUGAGGUGUAUAUGGUUCGAAUUAGAAAUGUAAUAUGCCUUUUUGGCUAUUGGAUAGUCAUUUGAUUUGGUAAAUGAUGCAUUAAAGUAUUUGUUGUUGAAGUUGUUUUGAGAUUUGGUUUUGUGGCCAAAUGGUUAUUUAGUUGUGCUUAAAUGGUUUGAGAUUUAUGUUGGUGAUAUGCCACUCUGUAAUGAUGUAUGUGAGAGGUGCUGAGUUGUGAUAUGCAUAUGUGAUUAUGUGCUGAGAUAGAGAUAUGCACAUGAGAGAAUAUUUUGUUAGGUGUCAAUGCGCAUGACACCGGGCUAAGUCCUGAACGAUGGUCGGUGAAGGGAGAAGGGUCGAGCCUGCUAAUGAAGUAGAAGGGUUAAAUGUCAGGUGGCCUAGAAAGAGUUUGGCUAGGCUAUAAGCCAGUGUUGUGUUCCGGGUUACAGACCUAGGGUUUGGUGAAUUAUUACAGAGAUGGAUAUCACAAUUGUUGAAAUGAUGUUCAUGUUAUUAUGAGUUUUAUAGAUGUUGAGAAUAUUGAAUAUGCCUUCUUU